RNAcentral lists this ribosomal RNA (960 nucleotides) under uncultured bacterium. RNAcentral describes it as "bacterial SSU rRNA". It matches the Rfam family "Bacterial small subunit ribosomal RNA", at positions 32 to 988 of the family's 1533-position model. The record is from RNAcentral.
AGGGCAAGGCGGCAGCAUUAACUGCAAGUCGAACGGCAGCACGGGAGCUUGCUCCUGGUGGCGAGUGGCGAACGGGUGAGUAAUAUAUCGGAACGUGCCCUAGAGUGGGGGAUAACUAGUCGAAAGAUUAGCUAAUACCGCAUACGAUCUAAGGAUGAAAGUGGGGGAUCGCAAGACCUCAUGCUCGUGGAGCGGCCGAUAUCUGAUUAGCUAGUUGGUGAGGUAAAGGCUCACCAAGGCGACGAUCAGUAGCUGGUCUGAGAGGACGACCAGCCACACUGGAACUGAGACACGGUCCAGACUCCUACGGGAGGCAGCAGUGGGGAAUUUCGGACAAUGGGGGCAACCCUGAUCCAGCAAUGCCGCGUGAGUGAAGAAGGCCUUCGGGUUGUAAAGCUCUUUUGUCAGGGAAGAAACGGUAGAGGCUAAUAUCCUUUGCUAAUGACGGUACCUGAAGAAUAAGCACCGGCUAACUACGUGCCAGCAGCCGCGGUAAUACGUAGGGUGCAAGCGUUAAUCGGAAUUACUGGGCGUAAAGCGUGCGCAGGCGGUUGUGCAAGACAGAUGUGAAAUCCCCGGGCUCAACCUGGGAAUUGCAUUUGUGACUGCACAGCUAGAGUGUGUCAGAGGGGGGUAGAAUUCCACGUGUAGCAGUGAAAUGCGUAGAUAUGUGGAGGAAUACCGAUGGCGAAGGCAGCCCCCUGGGAUAACACUGACGCUCAUGCACGAAAGCGUGGGGAGCAAACAGGAUUAGAUACCCUGGUAGUCCACGCCCUAAACGAUGUCUACUAGUUGUCGGGUCUUAAUUGACUUGGUAACGCAGCUAACGCGUGAAGUAGACCGCCUGGGGAGUACGGUCGCAAGAUUAAAACUCAAAGGAAUUGACGGGGACCCGCACAAGCGGUGGAUGAUGUGGAUUAAUUCGAUGCAACGCGAAAAACCUUACCUACCCUUGACAUG